UAUUUAAUAAUAACUCAACCACAAGGACUAAUAAUGAAGGACUAAUAAUGAAAAUUACUGAAACCAAUAAAUGAAGAUUGAAAAUUGAAGUGUAUCCAUAUUCCUGGAUUAGAAAACUUAAUAUUGUUAGAAUGUCCACACUAACCAAUGUUUAUUAACAGUCUCUACAACUCUUAUCAAAAUCCCCUUGAAAUUUCCCUUAAGAAUAGAAAAGCAACCUUAAAACAUUUAUGGACCCUUGAAAUGUUGACCAUUACUGAAUGCUCAACAUGAUCUCGAAAAAAGAACAAAUCUGGAGGAAGUCCAUCUUCUGAUGUCAAAACUUAUGACCAAUGUAAAUUAACCAAUAUAGGCAUAAAAUUAUCAAUAUAACAUAGACCAAAUAGAUUCAGAGUAUUCAGAAAUAACCUGUGCAGGAACUAGAGAGACUGCUCAGUUUGUAAUCAUUUGCCUUGGAAGCAUAAAGAACUGAGUUCAGUUACCCCAAACUCUCUGAACAAAGAUGAGAAGUAAUGGCCAUGUUUGCAAUCCUAGUACUGAGAGGGUAGAGACAGGAAUAUCUCCCAGGUUCACUAGCUAGUCAGCUAGCUACUUGGUAAUCUCAAGGCCAGUGAGAGACACUGUCUAAAAAAAUAGAAAGAGGUGGAUUGUACCUGUGUAAGUACACAUAAGGUUAUCCUCUGGCCUUAAUAUGUUUACACACACACACACACACACACACACACACACACACACACAUACACACACACACACACACACACACACAAAAGACCUUUUAUAAAUGAUUUUGACAAAUGCACUAAGACUGUCCUUUAAAAAAAGAUAGAGAAAAACUGGUUGUCCAUAUGAAAUUUGAUAUUUUUCUGUACAAAAACUGAACUGAAAAUGGAUCGAAUUUCUAAAUAUAGAAUCAAUGCAACUCUGAGAAGAAAACUAAAGCUUCAUGUGGUUGAAUUUGGUUUCUAGGUACAAAAUAUACAGUCAAUGGUAUAGAAGUUUGAGAAACUGGACUACAUUAAAAAUUUUGUGCAUCAAAGGUAUUAUCCACCGAAUAAGAAGUACCACCCACAGCAUGUGAGAAAAUAUUUAUAUGUUUUACAUCAUAUAUUUGGAAAGGGUAUUCUGAAAAGAGUAUUCCCAAAAUGCCACAGCAACAACAGAAGUCCUUAUUCAAAACUUGUGAAAUUGGGGUUGGCAAGAUAGCUCAACAGGUAGAGACACAUGCUUCCAAGCCAGUUGUUCAAUCUCCAAGCCUAACAUGGUCAAAGGAGAGAACCAACUCUCAUAAGUCGUUCUAUGACCUUCAUGUAUACCCCAUAACUGCGGCACGCACUCUAGCACAGUGGCAAACUAAGUAAACAUAAAAGUGGGCAAAGAACUGAACUGGACACUUCACCUCUAAGAAGAGAUGCAGAUGGCCCAAAUGCACAUGGAGUGAUGUCCAAUGUUAUGAAACAUCAGGACAACACAAAUCUAAAUCACUGUGCUAUCUCUCCUCAGUAAGCAUUAGAAUAGUCAGUGCAGAAGACCUAUAUCAACAAGAAAUGAGUACAUAAUAUGUAGCAAUUAACAAAGCAGGCAAAAGUGUUGAACUUUGUAUCAUGAAAGACACCAUCAAAUAAUCUGUGCAUGUCUGCUUAAGUCAUUAUCACCACUAGCAUUCAUCUUCAGGCUGACCGGACUAGAACAUCUUCUGCAAAAGCACUGUGGUAGAAGCACAAAGCACAUAAGCACUUCUGACAAUCUUCCAACAGCAGCUAUUAAAACAGGCAUAUAUCCCUACUUAAGGCCCAGCUUUAUCCAACACAAGUGUGCCGUCCAUAUUUGUGUGUCAGAUCAAAAACAUUGCAUGAAAGGUAUGCUGAGAUAAAUCCAAGGAUAAAUUGCACACAGUAAAAAUUGAAUAUAUUUAUGCAGCACAUUUUAUAGAAGCGUUGUUCGCAAGAGUGAAAAUCUAAAGACACUGAAACCUUCAGAAGCAAGGAGAUGGAUAAACUCUGACAUAGACACACAGUAGAAAACCUCAGGGACUAAAGAUAAAUAGACUACUAUUUCCAGUAUAAGAACAUUAAGUGCUAAAGAAGCUUACAAGAACACAUGUGGUGUUAGCAUAAGCUCACCAAUAAACAGUUUGGAGAGUCAUAGUUACAUAAUAAAACUGUAAGGUUAAGGAGAAGGAUGGACCUAAAUUCAGAAGAGUAACUUUAAAAUACAGUCUGUCUUCCCAUGCUAGCGAUUAGAGCUAGGGUACAGCAUAACAAAGGGAGUGUUCUGUAACAGACUUCUAUCCUGAGCUCACAAGCAGUUCUGUACCAUGAGAAGAUCCAUACAUCAAUUGUUUUUCUGUUCACUAUUCCAACAUAACUGUCGCAGACAGUGACCAACACCUGGUAAAUCUCCAAAAUAUUUGAGCAAAUUAAGCGAAAGGAGAAGGGGGUUGACAUAGAUAGUUGCAGUAGGAUUGCUGUUGUUCAGUUACCAGUCAUGAUUGCACACAUGGUGUGUGUAAUGCCUUCCUUUACACUGUGUAUAUGAAAUAUUAUAGUCUAAUGGAUUACAGAAUAUAGGACAUUUAAAGGUUUAAAGCUCACCUUUGAACUUUCACAGUGAAAAACAUAGUGAAUCUCUGAGUUCAAAGACAGCCUGGACAACAAACUGAGAUCCAGGACAACCAGGACAAUUAUACAGAGAAAGCUUGUCUUGAAAACAAAACAAAACAAACAAACAAACAAACAAACAAACAAACAAAGAGAGAAGAUAUAGUCAGACCAGAUAACCAACAGCAACAUCCAGCAAUAUGACUGACUCUCAACAAGAAGUUACAUGAGAAUGUCUCCACUAUAUCACACCAGCACAAUGCUAUUUUAUAACAUCAUGAAACAACCAUAGUAUGAAUAAAAUUUUAGAAACAAAAAGAUAAUUAACACAUACAAAAAGGAAGAGAAUGCUGGUUAUAGUAGGAAUGUACUUUGUGCAUAAAAAAACAAAAGAAAACAAAAAAACAAAAACCAGAUCAGAUAGAUUAUAUGCAUGGCUAGCUCUUCAGAAGACGUUGUCUGUUUUAUGUUUGGUUUGGCUUUGUGGCGCCGGGAAUUUGCCCAGCACACUGAGUAUUCAAGUGUUCUCUACCACUGAGCUGCAUCCCAGCCAUUGCUGUGAGAUCCUAGCUUUCAUUUAGCACAGACGAUUUGAGGAUACCGACUAUAGUAAAAAUGAUUCAAAAUAGCCCACUCAAAAAGCAACCCCAACCCUACUUGGGAACAAAGACUAUCCAUCUAAUUAAUUCUACUUAUCUGGGAUUCUACUAAAAGGAAAUGAACAUAUUUUUCAUUAAACAUGUAUUACCAUUCUAAAAGUAUUACAGUGAAUGUCUGUGCCCCGCUUCCUGUCAGCCUUUCAGACAUGGAGGCUGUGUCUAGUGUGGAAACGCCUUCCCUGGUCUACAACAGAGACUAAGAGCCUGUUCUUGCUCUUGAGAAAUGGAUGUCUGUAUCGGAUAAUCCUAAAGAAGAAAGCCGUCCUGGGGUAGGAGACAGGAAACUAGCAAGAGCAAGCCAUCAUCAGGAUGCAAAACCUAGUUAUGAACUUGAAAAGGGAGGGUAUUUUACACAUGUAUACGAGUCGGAGAGUGGGCCGGUGGAAUUGUUGAAAUUAGUUUUACUUGACUGAAGAAGGGGAAAGGGACAUGGGGGCUCAGACAAUUAACGAGGCCCCUCCUGCAGGGCCAGUUAGCUGUACAAUGGACUUGGGGCUUUAUCUGAAGAGCUACAGGAAACCAUUGAAGAGAUUAAGCCAGAGAGUGAUAUGAUUAGACUUUUCACUUAACAAGCGGCGGGGCUAAAGGCAGAAAGGAUCAGGUAGCUCACGUAGAGACCCAGGCAAUUGUUUAGGUGGGCCAUGGUGCUGACUGGAAGUGCAGGCAGUUGGGGUGCGACGGCAGACAGAUUGCAGAGCUGGCAAUCAAGUAGAAUUAGUAACACUUGAAGGUUAAUUGGGUAGAAGGACUGAAGGAACACAAAUGCAGCAGGAUUUCCUGUGUAGGGGGUGGAGAGGGUGGUGUCAGACACCAAGACUUGGGUUGAUGGGACAAAGUGCAGAUGAAUAUUCUUUCCCCCCUCCCUUUUAUUAUUGGAAUUAUAAUGUAAUUACAUCAAUUACUCCUUUCCUCCAUCAAGAUCCUCCCAUAUAUUCCUUUGUGCUCUCUUCCAAAUUCAUGGCCUCAUUUUUCAUUAAUUGCUAUAUACAUAUACAUAUAUGUAUAUACACAUGCAUGUGUAUUCCUAAAUACAACCUGCUCAGUCUGUAUGAUGUUCCUUGUGUGCAUAUUUUCAGAGAUGAGCAUUUGGUAUUGGAUUAACCAAAUGUUUUCUCUUCCCAGGAGAAACCUAUGUCUCUCACUCUCAGUGUUUCUUAGUUGACUACAGUUUUUUGUGUAGGAUUGAGAACUCCUGGGCUUUCCCAGUCCAAAUCCACGUGGGAAUGUCUAUUGGUGAUGUCCUUGUUCAACUCAUGUUUAGGCAGUCAUGUUGGUGAGACUUCAUGGGUGUAAAUCCUGUCAUUUCUGGGAGACACAGUCUCACUUCCAAGCCACGGAUCCUCUGACUUUUACAAUCUGUCCAUCCCCUCUGCCAAUGUUCCCUGAGCCUUAGGAGUGGAAGCUGUUUUUCAGAUGUAUCCAGAUGUAUAUUCUUAUUAGUGUAACCCAUUUGCUUAGACAGUGGUUUGCAAUCUUAGACUAUUUUUUUUUUCAGCUAAGUCAAGGCUCUUGAGCUUGGAAAAUGCCAUAGGUCCCCUUCUUGUUUACAAAUUGUUAAAUGAGACAAAAUACCCACUUCAUGUGUGAGAUGUAUUUAAAGUUCCAAACCUACAUCCCAACAAUAAAAGAUCCUUUCAGGGCUGAAGAGACAGACACCUGAGUUGGGAAAGUGCUUGCCAAUCCCCAGAGCUCACAUCAACAACCUAGGUAAGGUGGUGUGCAUUUUUUAUCUCAUCCCUGGGGUAUUUCCGGCCAGAUAAAACAAUGUCUAUUGCAUUCAUGUGUGCAUGCAUGUGUGUAUGCGUGCAUAAGCUCACGCACACAUGGAUACACAUACAUGCUGCUACCUAGCUUUAUGUUAUAAAAACCUUUCAGAUUCCUUACCCAUAUGGCAUAAAGUUUACAAGCAGCACUGCUAACAUUACAAGCAUUUUGCUAUGGGGCCUCCUGAUUAGAAAGUAAGUUCACAGUUCCCCAGCAAUUUCAGUUGGCUCUCCAUAUCAAAUUCAAUAAACUGACAUGGGAACAGGAUGAAGAACUCGUGGAGGAGGGACCAGGAAGGAGGACAACAUUUGGAAUGUAAAUAAAUAAAAUAACAAAAAAAAUCCUAAAAAUCGAAUUGUUACUGCACUAUGUGCUGACUUCCGCCCAUGCUGUCUUCAUUCCACAAAUAAUAAGUUAAAAAAAUUCUAGUGUUUGAAUUGUAUAAAGUGUUGUUCUGAAAGUGUACAGAAAGGUUUGUGUAGGUUAUACAAACAUCAUCCCAUUUUACCUAAUGAACUCAAACACCCUAGGAUUUCGGUAUUCAUACAGGUGAAACUAAUUCCUGUAAAAUAUUGAGAGAUGUCUAUGGUUUCUUAUUCUUAAAGCAAAGUAAUUACUCGAGCAUGGCUUCAUAGGGCAGCAGCUGAAUAAUGCAAUCUUUUGCAUUUGAUAAAAUAGGAAAAUGCAUAAUGCAUAUACUCUUUUCUUUCACACUGUGAGUCAUAAGCGUGUGAAGGGAGUAACGUUAAUUUCCUGCAGACUGCCAAGAGACAAUGUUCUGAUUGUUGGACAAAACAAAACACAUAAGAAAAUACAACAACAACAAAACAAAAACAAGACAAAAAAUAAACCAGAAAGAAAGAAUGUAUGAAUCUACCCUUUAUAUGUUGUCUAAGACAACACUUCUUAUGGCCACUUUAUAGAAUAUCUCCCAGAAAUGUAAAAAUCAGAAUGGCCGUCUGAAUGAUCUGUGCCAAGCUGCAAGGCAUACUGACCCCUCACCUUCAUAUUAGGGUCUAGCAUUGUUAUUAAUACUUGGUCUUGGGGAGAGGAGUGAAAGCCCAUGUUGGUGGCACUUUACAGACUUGCAGGGGGAGGGGGCAGGCUACCGGAAGUGUUUUAUUACUUCCUGAGUGUUUUAUUACACAGCACAUGCUAAGGAGCGUUAAUAAUAUUUGCUGAGUCUCAUGAGUGUGUUCGUGUGGAUGGUAGUGUCACACAAAAGACAGCAGAAUGCAGUUUCCUAUUAGAAAUAUUAAAGUCAGAUCUUGGCUUUGCUACUUCAGAAUCAAAGUGACAUUGAAAACUUUUCUAAACACUGAAAACCUCAACUCCUUUAAGCAGUGUAAAUCUGUUAUCAUAAGCAGUCAGCAAGGAAAUGUAGUAUCAAUAAAGGAGAGCAGGUACCGUCUUAAGUUUGAUAUUAGGUCUGAGUGCCCGAUAUUACCAAACAUUGUAACUUCUUUCAUUUAUUGGUUCUUAACAUAUCUUAUAAGAAAUGGCAUAAUACCAUGUAUUUUACCAAUUCUAACUGUAUUUUUACUUAGUUUAUCUAUUUUUUUGUGAAGCACAUACACAAAUACUAUAUUUAUAUAAUUUCCACCCUUCCCUUUCUCCCCUCCAUUCCUCCUGUGCUCCUCCAAGAACUUCUCAUUAAUUAUUGUUGUUUUACACAUACAUGUGUGUGUGUGUGUGUUGGCUCUCAUUAGAAAAUAAAUGGGUAUCUAAGGAAUUAAAAUAAAAUAACGUCAGGACAUGAAAGAACAAACAAGAAAAAGAGCCAAAGAAAAAGUAGAAGAAAUGUACAGACACAGAGACUCACACUUGCACAUGCUCAGGAAAUCCCGUAUGAACCCCGAACUGGAAGCUGUAGUAUAUAUAUGCAAAGGACCCAACAGGUAGGAAGAACAAAACAAUACAAAAAUACCACUGACUUAAGAUAAGGAGGAAAAGCACUUACAAAGAUGCUGUUGAGUUACUUGGCCAUCUACCGCUGGACACAGAAACUACUCUUAACAGUGGCGUUUCCCUAGUGAGACUCUCUUGGAGAAAACUGAGUUUUCAUUUGCAAGAAGCUAUCCUUAGGGAUGUGGACCUGUGUCUCUCUAGGUCUCUAGGACCCUAUGUGGUACAAACCCAUGCAGGUCCUGUGCAUGCUGCCUCAGUCUCUGUGAGUUCAUAUGUGCACCAGCACUGUUGUAUCUAGAAGACCUUGAUUCUUGGUGUCCUCCAUUCCCUGAGUCUUCCUCAGAGUUCCUUGAACCCUAAUGGGAGGGAUUUGAUGGAGACAUCCUUUUGAGGGCUGCAUAUUCCAAGAUCUCUCACUCUCUACCUAUUGUCUAGCUGUGGGUUUCUGUAUUUGUUCCCAUCUGCUACCGGGGGAAGCUUCUCUGAUGAUGACUGAGCAGGACACAGAUAAUAUGACUAUAGCAGAAUGCCAUUAGGUCUCAUAUUAUUGCUAUGUUCCUUUAACAGAACAGAAAUAUUUGCUUUUCCCUUAGGUCCUUGGCCUUUCUAGUCUCAGACUCCAAGCAACACUGAGCAUGAGUUUCAUCUCAUGGCCUGGGCAAUAAAUAACUCUAAUCAGAUAUUGUUUAGUUACUCCCAUAAACUCUGUCCCACUACUGCACCAGUAUAUCUUCCAAGUAGGACACCAUUGAAGACUGAAGGAUUUGUACCUGGCAUAGUGUUUAUAUUUUCCCUUUAGUAGCACAUAGAGUGCCUUCUAGUACCAUGAAUAUUAGUCUGUAGUGGUGAAGGUUCUAGUUAGGCAUUAUUUAGACUUCUCUGCAUUUAAUGAGUUAUGAGGGUGUAUGCAAUAGGACCUUACUGUCAGUUUAUGGGGAGCCACCAAGAGUUUUGGCAAUAGCUUGUGUUGUUUGGAGUUUCCCAUAGGUGGCCUUUGGCUAACAAUUCAAUUAGAUGUAACCAAUUUCCAGUACUGGAAGCUUCAUUUGGUGACAAAAGUUGGGUCACCCUCAUUAUUUGAGAUUUUAUUUAGAUGGCCUUCAUAUAUGUAUAUUAUAAAGGAAGCUGCCACUGUUAGAUUUUCACACUAUACCUCAAAAGGCUUUUGGUUUUAGCUGUCCUCACCAUAUUCCCUCCCUGGAGUUCCUUUUCCCUACUCAUUUCUGGUUUGACCCUCCCAUCCCAGUCCCCCUGGAAUCUAUUCAGCUUGAUUUCCUUGGCCUAGGAAGAUUCAUUCUUCCCACUAGUUUUUGCUCUUUACCUAACCUCUAUGGUUAUAUGGGUUGUAGCUUGGUUAUCAAUGGCUUGACAGCUGGCACUUAUAAAUGAAUACAUGUGAUAUUUGUCCUUCUGGGCCUGAGUUACCUCAUUCAGUGUGAUUUUUCCUAGUUCUGGAACUACCUACAAAGUUCAUUGUUUCAAUAGCUGAAUAAUAUUCUCUUAUAUAAAUGUUCCACCAUUUCUUUAUCCAUUUAUCUGUUCACAGACAUUUGGGAUGUUUCCAAUUUCUAGCUAUUAUGAAUAGAACAGCACUGAGCAUAUGUUCAGCAAACAUCUCUGUAGUAGGUUGGAGUGUCCUUUGGGUAUAUGCACAGAAGUGAUACAGCUUGAUCUUGAAGUAGAUUAAUUUCAGUCUUCCUGAGGAAGAGUCAUGCUGAUUUCCACAGUGGCUGUACAAGUUUGUAUUUCCACCAGAAAUGGAUGAGUGUACCCCUUACUCCACAUUCUAACCAGAAUGAUCUGUCUUUUAUUUUAUUGAUCUUGGCCAUUAUAAUUGAUAUAAAAUGAAAUCUCAAAGUAGUUUUGAUUUGCAGCUCCCUGAUAAAUGAGAAUGUUGAACAAUUCUUUAAAUGCGUCGCAGCCAUUUGAGUUUCCCUUUUGAGAAUUCUCUGUUUAGAUCUGUGCCCCAUGUUUUAAUGGGACUGUUUUCUUGAUGUCCAGUUUCCUUUUGAGGUCUUUAUAUCUUUUAGAUAUGUAACCCUUUGCUGAAAAAUGUAGUCUGUAAAAACCUUUUUCCAUUCUAUAGGCUGCUGCUUUCUUUAAGUGAUGGUGUCCUUUGCCACGAAGAAGGUUUUCAGUUUUGUAAGGCCCUAUUUAUUAAUUGUUUGUAGUGUCUGUAUUAUCAGUGUUCCGGUCAGAAAGUCUUUUUCUGUGCCAAUGAAUUCAAGAACAUUGCUCACUUUCUACUCUAUCUGAGUCAGUGUAUCUGGACUUAUGUUGAGGUCUUUGACCUAUCUGGAGCAGAGUUUUGUGCAGGGUGAUGAGUAUAGAUCAAUUUGGAUCCUUCUACCUGCAGCCAUCCAAUUUAGCUUGCACCAUUUGUUGCAGAUCCAUCUUUUCUCCAGUGCACCUUUCUGGCUACUUUAAAAAAAAACAGGUGUCCAUAGGUUUGUAAACUUUUUCAUGGGUCUUCAGUUCAAUCAAUGUUUCUGGUUUUGUGCCAAUAUCAUGCUGGGGUUUUUUUUUUUUACUAUAGUUUUGUAGUACAAUUCAAAAUUGGGUAUAUUCUAUCAUAUUUGGGUAAAAUGGACUGUAAAUAUCUGUUAGGACUAUUUGUCUUAUAAGUUAGCUUCAGGAUGUCUCUGUUUAGUUUUUUGUUGGUAAGAGUAAGGUGUGGAAGUCAUCCACGAUUAGUGGGUAGGAGUCAAUAUGUGGCUUAAGCAACAGUAUUGUUUCUUUUGUGAACCUGGGUGCCCUUACAUUUGGUAAACAGAUGUUAAGAAUUUCAAUAUCAUCUUGGUAGAUUUUUUUCCAUUUGAUAGUAUGAAGUGACUUUCCUUAGUUUUGGUUUGAAAUCCAUUUUGUCAGAUAUUUAAAUGAUUACAUUUAAGUAUGCUACUGGGGGAUAGCAGCACACACCUCUAAUCCUAGCACUUAGGAGGCAGGAACAGGCGAAUCUCUGAGUUCAAGUCCACCCUGGUCUACAAAAUGAAUUCUGGAUAGUCAGGGCUACCCAGAGAAAUCAGGUCUCAAGAAAAAAAGGCCAUAUUGGCUGGAUUUUUGAUUCAUUUACUUGUAAUAUCUUUUUCCAUUCUUUUAUUCUGAGUUGCUGUCUAUUCUUGAUAUUAAGGUGUGUUUCUUGGAUUGAGCAGAUUGUAUUUAUACAUUUAUGUAUUUACAUAUGUAUGUUUGUUUAAUAUUAAUAAUUAAAAGGUAAAAGGCUAUGAAUUUGAGUGUGACUUAUGAGAGGGCUUGGAGGGAGAAAAAGGUAGGGAGGAAAUGAUAGAGUUUACUUUGAUUAAAAUUUUAAAACUUAUUUUCAAUUAAAAACAUGUACAUAAAGUACCUAAGACAUAGAUCAAGGAUGUAUAUUGUUGAUUUGAAAUAUAAAAAUACUAAUAGUCACUGAUUUGAUAGUGGUCUGACUUAAGGAUAACCUAAGUGCCCCAUUUAGAAAUAUAUAGUGUAAAGCCUGGGGAACUGAUAAAGCAAAUGGGUAUCUUCUAGCACAACUUUAUAAACAGUGAAUCAAUGAAUGAUGGAUCAAGGAAAUUAGACUACAGUACUAACAAUCACAGAAGACACCACUCUCACCAACAAUUUUACAAACAUAACAAGAAGCAUAAGGCUUCGAAGCAAUUAGACUAGCUCAAUGACACACAGCAGAUGGCCUUAUAUGCAGGGGAGUCAGGGAAGAACACUUAAGGGCUAGUAUCAGUAAGUUUUUUCCACUUGCUAAUAGUGAGCAACACAGCCAGCCAUUUGUCUUAGAUUCCCGUGUCUUCCUUUGGGUAUCUGCUGCAGAGUUAUCCUAAUGCUUACAUAGACCAUCUUGUAGCCAAAACUGCUGAUUUUAAGCUAAUUUCAAUUUACUUUUUUGUAAUAUGAUCGUGUUUUUAAUCAAAGAAUUCAGAGUAUGCUUUAUAAAUGUGUUCAAGAAAGAACACAAUAUUUUCUAGGUGUUUAAUACAAAGUUCGUUCUGUGAAUUACAGUGGUUUAGAAUAGUCCCGAGUACUCAAUGAUAAGACUUACACUAUCUUCAUAAUGACUAUUUACAUACACACACAAAGAACCAUUUCAAUCUAAAUGUCUUUCGUAUUUUAUAUCAUAAAUCCUAGCAUAAAACAUAACUAAAUUUAUUUUUAUAUUAAUAAAGUAUACUUUAAUUGUGACCUUCAAUUAAAUUGUCAAAUUAAUACGGUAAAUUUAUUUUCCCUCCCUCUUUUUAAAAUAGUUAUUUAAGAAUUUCAUACAAUGCAUUUGAUGAUAUUCACCACUCCCACACUUCUACCACAUCUAUGUCUCUUCUUUACAUAUCCAGCCUUGUAUCUAAACAAAACAAAACAUACACACACAUCAUCAUCACCACCACCACCACCAUCAUCAUCAUCAUCAAAUACAAUUUUUACUGCUCAUUUACUCUUGUAUAUGUGGCCUUCUCUCCCUUUGUCAGUCCACCAGGAGCUGGAUCUUUAAAAAUACUGACUCUUUCCCAACAAUUAUAAUUGUCAACAGCUUCUUAGCCAAGGAGACUUCAUUACCACCUCUCCUAACACCAUGCUGAGAUUUUUGUCUGGUUUAACCUUAUGCAGAUUUUGUACAUGAUGUUACAACUACCGUGAGUUCUCAUUGUGCAAAUAUACUGCUGUGUCAGGAAAACACUGUUUCUUUGUAGUUAUUCAGCACCUCUUGUUCUUAUAAUCAUUCAGCCUCCUCUUUCUCAAUGAUUUCUGAACCUUGGUGAAAGGAGGAGUAAAAUAGACAUCUCAUUUAGGGUUAAUAAUGCUUAAGUCUCUUAUUCUCUGCACCCUGACCAUUUGUGGGCAUUUGAGUUAAUUUGAGUUAAUGAGUACCACACACUGAAAAAAGAAGCUUCUCUGAUGAAGGUUAACAGAUACACUACUCUAUGUGGCUAACAAGUCAUUACAAGUCAAUGUAACACUAUGUCUACUUAGUAAAGUGAUAGUAGUAGGUUUUCCCUUAGAGCCUUUGACCUAUGUCACCACAUAUUCUUGGUCCCAAUUACUAUGCCAGCUAUAGGUUCCACUUUGUGUAAGUGGGCCUUAAAUGCAAUCAGAAAGUGGUUGGUUGCUCCAGUAACAUUUGUGCUACCAUUGCACCAGUAGGGCUGUCUUGAUCCACUGGUCAUUUUGAGCAUUUAGGAAUCACAGCUGGAUGAGAUUAUUACUUUUCUCUACUGGUUACAUGCAUGACACCUUAUAACACUGUAAAAGAUUGUCAGUAGGAAUAAAGCUUUCAGGUGAAUACCAGAUUGUUUCCUCUUGUUCUAUGACUCAGUAUGUGAAGUCUUACUCUCAAAUUCUGGAGGGCAACCAAGAGCACCGACAGUAUCUUGUAAACUUUGGAGGCCCAUGUGAGCUCACUUGCCCACAGCUACAAAAGUUUUUUUGUGCCUCUGACACUGGACUUUUAUUUGUUAUUCUGUCUACUAGGGCUGUUAGCUGAUCCAUUAUAGGGAAACUCCAUUAAAAUUCUUUUUAUAAAUGUGUAAGUAUAUAUUUUAAGGAGUUUUUUCAGGAGUAAGUUCCCAUAUAACUUCCUCAAAAUGUCUUCAGUGUUCCUUACCCCUCCCUAGAGUCUGUACUCUACUUGCCCUCUCAUUCCACUCUCCAUUUAACUACCCAUGUUCCAUUAGUAUCCUUUCUACCUCUUUGUUUUAUCUCUCCUCCCUUGAAACAAUCCAUAUCCUUUUCCUAAUUUCCUGAACUCUAAGGGUAUUACAAAUGAAGAACAUAUCUGAAGAGUUAAGGCUAACAUCCCAAGUGAGAAAUAAACAUGAUACUUGUCUUUCAGGGUUAUCUCAGAAUGAUUGAUUCUAACUCCAUUCAUUUACCUUCUAAUUUCAUACCUUCACUUUUCUUAACAUUCAAUAAUAUUCUAUUUUGUAAAUAUGUCAAAUUUUCAUUAUCUAUUCAGUUAGUGGACAUUUAAGCCUUUUUCAAUUUCUGGCUGUUAUGAAUUGAGUGUGAACAUGGUUGAGCAAGAGUUUCUAUAGUAAGAUGUAGAGUUCUUUGCCCAAGAGUGGUAUAGCUAGAUCUUGCGAUAGAUCCAUUACCAACUUCCUGAAGAGACUGCCACACUGAUUUCCGCAGUCGUUGUGCCAGGUUGCACUCCCACCAGCAAGAACAAAUGUUUCUUUUUCUCUGAAUACUUAACCAACUUAAGCAUAUACUGUCAUUUGUUUUAUUGAUGUUGGCUUUUCUGACUGGAAUAAAAUAAAUCACAAAGUAGUUUAAAUUUAAAUUCCCUAUGACCUUAAACUUUUCUUUAAAUUUGUUUUAUGUCUUUGUGCAUUUCAUCUUUUGAGAACUUUCUGCUUAGUUCCUUGCCUCAUUUUUAAUUGUUUCAUUUUCAUGAUGUUCAGUUGCUUUAUCUCUUUAUAUAUUCUAGAUAGUAACUUUCUAUCAGAGAGUCAUGCUUUUCUAAAGCUUUCAAGUAUAUCACUAGAUGAUUAAGAUAGAAUUUAAUGAAAAUGAAGGCACAACAUACCAAAACUUAUGGGAUACAAUGAAAGCAGUGCUAAGAGGAAAACUCAUAGCUCUGAGUGCCUCCAAAAGGAAACUGAAUACAGCAUACUCUAACAGCUUGAGAGCACACCUGAAAGCUCUAGGACAAAAGAAAGCAAACACACCCAAGAGGAGUAGAUGGCAGGAAAUAACCAAACUCAGAGCUGAAAUCAAUCAACUAGAAACAAAAAGAACUAUGGAAAGACUCAGCAGAACCAGAAGCUGAUUCUUUGAGAAAAUCAACAAGAUACAUAAACCCUUAGCCAGACUAAUUAGAGGGCAGAGAGACAGUAUCCAAAUUAACAAAAUCAGAAAUGAAAAGGGAGACAUAACAACAGAUUCUAAUGAAAUUAAAACAAAAAUCAGAUCCUACUGCAAAAGUCUAUAUUAAAUAAAACUGGAAAAUCUUCAUAAAAUAGACAAUUUUCUAGACAGAUACCAGGUACCAAAGUUAAAUCAGGAUCAGAUAAACCAUCUAAACAGUCCCAUAACCCCUAAAGAAAUAAAAGCAGUCAUUAAAAGUCUCCCAAUCAAAAACAGCACAGGUCCAGAUGGGUUUAGUGCAGAAUUCUAUCAGACCUUCAAAGAAGACCUAAUACCAAUACUCUUCAAACUAUUCCACAAAGUAGAAACAGAAGGAACACUACCCAAUUCCGUCUAUGAAGCCACAAUUAUGCUUAUACCUAAACCAUGAAAAGAUGUUACAAAGAAAGAGAACUUCAGACCAAUUUGCCUCAUGAAUAUUGAUGCAAAAGAUUCAAUAAAAUUCUUGCAAAUUAAAUCCAAGAACACAUCAAAAUGAUCAUUCACCAUGAUCAAGUAGGCUUCUUCCCAGGGAUGCAGGGAUGGUUCAAUAUACAGAAAUCCAUCAACGAAAUCCACUAUAUAAACAAACUCAAAAAAAAAAACCCACAACCAUAUGAUCACCUCAUUAGAUGCUGAGAAAACAUUUGACAAAGUUUAACACUUCUUCAUGUUAAAAGUCUUGGAAAGAUCAGGAAUUCAUGGCCUAUACCUAAACACAGUAAAAGCAAUAUACAGCAAACCAGUAGCCAACAUCAAACUAAAUGGAGAUAAACUUGAAGUAAUCCCACUAAAAUCAGGGACUAGACAAAGGCUGCCCACUAUCUUCCUACUUAUUCAAUAUAGUACUCAAAGUCCUAGCCAGAGCAAUUAGAUGACAAAAAGAUGUUAACGGGAUAUAAAUUGGAAAGGAAGAAGUCAAAAUAUCACUACUGGCAAAUGAUGUGAUAGUAUACUUUAAUGACACGAAAAAUUCCACCAGAGAACUCCUAAAACCUGAUAAACAACUUCAGCAAAGUGGCUGGAUAUAAAAUUAAAUCAAACAAAUCAGUAGCCUUUCUCUACUCAAAGGAUAAACAGGCCUCGAAAGAAAUUACAGAAACAACACCCUUCACAAUAAUCACAAAUAAUAUAAAAUACCUUGGUGUGACUCUAACCAAACAAGUGAAAGAUCUGUAUAAGAACUUCAAGUCUCUGAAGAAGUUAAAGAAAGAGGAUCUCAGAAAAUGGAAAGAUCUCCCAUGCUCAUGGAUAGAAAGGAUUAAUAUUGUAAAAAUGAUCAUCUUGCCAAAAGCAACCUACAGAUUCAACGCAAUCCCCAUCAAAAUUCCAACUCAAUUCUUCCUAGAGUCAGAAAGAACAAUUUGCAAAUUCAUUUGGAAUAACAAAAAACCCAGGAUAGCAAAAACUAUUCUCAACAAUAAAAGAACUUCUGGGGGAAUCACAAUCCCUGACCUAAAGCAGUAUUACAGAGUAAUUGUGAUUUAAAACUGAAUGGUAUUGGUACAGAGACAGGCAGAUAGAUCAGUGGCAUAGAAUUAAAGACCCAGAAAUGAACCCACACACCCAUGGUCUCUUGAUCUUUGACAAAGGAGCUAAAAACAUCCAGUGGAAAAAAGAUAGCAUUUUCAACAAAUGGUGCUGGUUCAACUGGUGGUCAGCAUGUAGAAGAAUGCAAAUCAAUCCAUUCUUAUCUCCUUGUACAAAGUUCAAGUCCAAGUAGAUCAAAGACCUCCACAUAAAACCAGAUACAUUGAAACUAACUGAAGAGAAAAUGGUGAAUAGCCUCGAACACAUAGGCACAGGGGAAAUUUUCCUGAACAGGGACACCAAUAGCUUUUGUUCUAAGAUCAAGAAUCGACAAAUGAGACCUCAUAAAAUUGCAAAGUUUUUGUAAGGCAAAGGACACUGUUGUUAGGACAAAACUGCAACCAACAGAUUGGGAAAAGAUCUUUACCAAUCCUAUAUCAAAUAGAGGGCUAAUAUCCAGUAUAUACAAAGAAUUCAAGAAGUUAGACUCCAGAAAACCAAGUAAUCCUAUUAAAAAAUACAGUACAGAACCAAACAAAGAUUCACAGCUGAGGAAUAUCGAAUGGCUGAGAAGUACCUUAAGAAAUGCUCAACAUCCUUAGUCAUCAGGGAAAUGCAAAUAAAAAUAACCCUGAGAUUCCACCUCAUAGCAGUCAGAAUGGCUAAGAUAAAAAACUCAGGUAACAGCAGAUGCUGGCAAGGAUGUGGAGAAAGAGGAAUACUUCUCCAUUGUUGGUGGGUUUGCAAGCUGGUACAACCUCUCUGGAAAUUAAGAUGAGAAUAUAUAUAUACACAUACAUAUAUAUAUGUGUGUAUAUAUAUAUAUACAUACACACAUACACAUAUACAUAUAUACACAUAUAUAACAUAUAUACAAAUAUAUAUACAUAUGUAUAAUUUAUUUAUUUAAGUGGAAGUAAUGUAGGCUCCUUAGAGCUAUAAAUGGUCAUCUUAGAAUUGUCCUCAUUGUGUCCUAUAGAUUUUAAUUUCUUUUUUGAUUUCUCCAAUGACCCAGUAGUGUGUUGUUUACUUCCCAUGAGUUUGUGUAUUUUCUGCCAUUUCUAUUGCUUUUGCUAUUCAUCUUUAUCCCUUCAAAGACUGAAUGCAGAUUGUUAUUUCAACCAUUUGUCUGUGUGACUUUGUCUCUUUUGAGUUGUGUACUUGUUACUUUUCUGUUGCUAUGAUAGAACACCAUGGUAAGAGCAACUUAUAUACAGAGAAGUUUAUUUGGACUUAAUGGUUUCAGACAAGCCAGAUUCAAUCCUGGAGGGGAGGCCUCAGCCAUGACAGCGGGAAUAGGAAGCUAGAGUUCAUAUCCUGAAUCACAAGCACCGUCCAGGAAGAGCAACCUGAGAAUAACUUGGGUCUUCAAAGGCUCAAAGCUUACCCCUAGCGACAUACUUCCUUCAGGACACCUUCUGAACAGUCUUAAACAUCCCCAAUACCUGGGGACCAAGAUUUAAAUACCUGAUACUAUGGGUGAUGUUUUCCAUUCAAACCAUUCACAUUUUUUGGCCAUAUUUAUAAUUACUCUUUUGAAUUAUUUUUUCUGUAAAAUUUCCCAUGUUAUUUUUAUUAUUGCUCAUGACUAUAGGAUGAUAUUUUUUGGAGAUGUCAUUUAUUUCUUUUAAUAAUGUUUUUAUUUAUGUGUUGGGAUUUGUACAUCUGGAGUUAGUUUAUUGAAAUUUUCUCUAUUUAUCUUCAAUUCGCCUUCGUUUUAAAAAUUUUAUUUAUUUUAUUUAUUUUUAUUGGAUAUUUUAUGUAUUUACAUUUAAUAUGUUAUCCCCUUUUCCCUCUCUCCCAUGCUCCUCCCCCUCCCCCUGCUUCCAUGAAGAUGCUCCCCCCCACCUACUCCCACCUCAACACCCUGGCAUCCCCCUACAAUCAGAUGGCCAGACACCUUUCUCUCUGUGCUGAGGGUAUCUUUUGGAAGGAGAUAAAACUGCCUUCUUAGAUAAGUCCUUGGACUCUGAACACUAAAACUGGUUUUCCUCCCACCUGGCAUCUCCCACAUCAUCCUGGGCACAGCAUACUUCUUACUUUGGGAUAACCAGUUUAAAAACCAAGAUAGGACCUACUAAUCCACCCGAAUGUCCUCAAUAUCCGUGCUGGGCAUCAUGUUAAUGAAGAGUUCCCAUUAAAAUACUUAGGUCAAAGUGCAGAGCUUGACUCAUGAAAGUGGAUGUUGGCUUUUGGGAUGCAGAGAGGUCCUGCAAGCCUGCAUACUUGCUUUCUGAUUUCUGAAUGGUGGGAUCAUCUGUGACCCUUGAGAGAGGGAGGCACUUUGAGGACAGUGGAGGUAUGCUAAGUGAUCAGGGAACUGCUUUAAAGAUACAAUUCCUGUUGGAUCUAUACUGAGGAUGCUCAAUGAAAUGGUGGGUGUGUGGAGCAAGAUGUGUAGACCCCAAGGCAAGAGGUGUGAACCGGAAAAGAUACUCAGAGCAUAAUUCUCUAAUGUGGUGGAAAUCAUCUCUCUCCCUCCAUCCCAGUUCUUUCGUCAGGUUAACAUGAUGCUGUUGAGACUAACGCUCAGGUACAACCUGAAUUGUCACAAUUUUUAAGCUAAUGAUAGAUGCACAGUUUCAGAUGUUGCUACCAAAAGGACAAGGCUAUGUUUCAGUCGAAAGCCUGGCUCAUGCUACUUGGUUGGAGUCUUGCUCAGGAAUCAGGGAUCGGAUUUUCUAAAUUUUCUAGGUGUAUUCCUUGUACUGUAGAACCAGAUGAUAGCAGGGCCUACCACAAAACAUUGUGAAGGACGGUUAAAAAAAAGUCCCAGGAGAGCAGCAGUAUUUGGUAUGUGCUACUUUCUCUAAGGUUAAGUGAUGAAUGUGUAGUAAGGCCUGUGUUUCUCCCUUUAUUUCACUCACCCACAAAUUAAGGUUAUUUCUGAAUCCAAGUUUUCCUCACUCUCGAGUUUCACUCCUAUUCUUAAAUCGAGCAUGGAAGGUUAGAAGGGGCAGUGGCACUGGGCCAUGUCCUCGUGAAGUGAGCCAGGUACUUCCCAGGGCUAUGUUGAAUGCAAGCUUCUUCUCAGUCACAGACAUUUCACAUUCAUGGUGUCUGCAGUUGAGUGUUCGGUGAUGGAGGUGUGGUAUGUGCCUUCUGUUGGAACUUGGUAGCACUACGCCAGUGCUCCGUUUCAUAUGUUCUUUGUUUAUCUAGAGGGGCGACAGGGACCAAGGAAAGUGAAUGAGGCUUUGGAUUGAACCAGUCUAAUUCCAGAUUUUUCUGUUGAUUUCUAACCAGAAUGACAGGGUUAUAUGGAAUAAUGAUGUAGACUUAAAUAUAAGGGAGAAGAGUAGACGUUCUUAUUAUAAUGGGCUACGGAAUUUCUGGAAACUUAAUGGUCUUUUUCAUAGAAGAUCCAGUGAAUAUGUUGACUUCUGACUUGAUUGCUUCCUAUUGUUCAACCAUUUCCACAAAAGCUAUUCUUUCAAAUUCUAUCUCACUUUUCUUCUGUUUUUGGUUUUUAUUUUGAAAGAGUUACUCCGUCUCCAUACCCCAGCUGCAAUGGAAAGUAAGUCUACUUGUACGUGUGUGUGUGUGUGUGUGUGUGUGUGUGUGUGUGUGUGUGUGUGCUUAAUCAGUCUCUAUUUCUUUCUUUCUUUCUUUCUUUCUUUCCUUCUUUCUUUCUUUCUUUCUUUCUUUCUUUCUUUCUUUCUUUUUUUUUUGGAGCUGGGGACCGAACCCAGGGCCUUUCGCUUGCUAGGCAAGCGCUCUACCACUGAGCUAAAUCCCCAACCCUAAUCAGUCUCUAUUUUAUUCAUUGAGGGAGAUCCUCUCCAUUGUACCCAGAGCUUGCUGUUUCAGCUAGUCCAGCUAGCCUGUGGACCCUGGGAUUUCUUGUCUGUGUCUCCCAAGCAGUAGGAUUACAGGCUGGCUGCCACACCUACCUAGUAUUUAAGUGGAUGCUGGAGAUCUGGACUCCUAGCCUCCUUUUUGAGCGCUUUACCCAUGGAGCCAUCUCCUAGCCACUACAUUAGCCUUACCAUGCCACUGGCAGAAAGGACACUACAAACUAUGCAGCGAGUUUCCAGGAGGGGAUUUUCAUGGGUCCAGCAUGAAUUAUGUGUUGUUCUCUGAAGAAUGGGAACAGCAUCCUGAUUGGUUGGCCAAACAUAAUCCCCUUAGGUGAAAUAGAAGUAUUAAAUUCAACCUUCACAUUUUAAGAGGAGGGGAAAGGUUGGUGGCUUCAAAGUAAAAUUGGAGCAUUGUUCCCCAAAGAAGACAAAGGAAAAAAGUCAAAGCUGACAGAUCCCAUUCCAAGCAAGGGUUCAGAAAGAAGGACAUUAGCACACACAUGCCUGUAAAAUUGUGAGCCAAGAAAUGUUAAUGCAGCAGCUGGGUAAACCUGAUGUUGAUGUGGAAGAUCUCUCUCUCUCUCUCUCUCUCUCUCUCUCUCUCUCUCUCUCUCUCUCUCUCCCUGUGUGUGUGUGUGUGUGUGUGUGUGUGUGUGUGUGUGUGUUUUCUUACAGCCAAGACCUCAGAAUUCAUUUACCUGCUCAGCCUCUAGUGAGUGUCCUGCCCUCUCUGCCUGGUGUGACACUAGAAGCUGAGCUCAAGGCAGCAGCAAGACCUUCAAGGUACCUACCUGGGCCUGAAGUCACUCAAAAAGCUGAACUGUGGUGACAUAGCCAUGUUCUAGUUCCCUCCAAUUGGGAUUUUCAUUUUAUCGUUCUCCUCCAAGAAGCCUGGGACCUGUUGGUAUCCCUCUGCAUUCUGAGAGCAGGCUCUCCAUUGGAAGGCAUGUUAUGAAAUGAGAUGUAUCAUUGGAGAUGCAGGUAAGAAAUCUGAAGCAAAUGACCUCAUCUAACCCUCAUCAGCCUGCGUCCUGGGCUCUUGCCACCCACCCCCCCAACAGGUGUAAGGACAAAAGGCCCAUUGUCCUUAGAAGCCCAUAGGAUAAAUGGAGAAGGAACGUGUCUUUGCUGGUUAAUCUGCCUUGAUAAAGAGUAUUGUUUUAUCUCUUGCCAUCGCUAGGGUUUCAAGGGGUGAAUUCUACUGAGGACAAAGUCUGCUUUGUCUUUUCCAACCCACUGAGACAAGUAAGUUGACCUUUCAUAUACUCUGUGAUUGUCACAAUCCAAGUGCCAAAGUGUUGGGGGUCCUUAAGAAUAUUCUCCUUUCUUCCCACAAGGGGCACACCAUCUAUAGAGAUGCUGUGGGGCUGAGGAGUGGUGCGCUUCUCUUUGGUCUUUGCUUUUAGUUUUUAAAAGUAGGAAAGUGCUGUCUUGAGCAAAUUCAUAUUUACAUGAAAGAUAAAAAGCAAGUACAAAGAGCUGUGUUCUUUUCCCCAACAGCUUCUUCCAGUUUUCCCUGGUGAUGCCAUCUGCAUUGAUGGUAUGUUUGUAAAGCCAGUGAUGAGCCAGGUGCUGAUGCUUUGUUUUAUUACAAUAAUUAUGUUAGGUCAUAUCACAAGCGCACAGCUUACAUUGGUCCAUUCUGCAUUGUUCAUGUUGUGGGCUUGGUCAGCAUUGUGACACGUACCUACCACUGUCUAGUGUACAAUAAAGGACUUUCACUACCCUAAAGUUCGUGUGUGUUCUAACAGCUCACACCUCACUCCUAUUCCCCACUCUCCUGGGCAAGCUCUCACACUUUCACCCUCUCUAGAAUGCCGUAGGGUUGACAGCAUCCCUACAGUCAUUCAGACAAGCAUCUUUCACGGAGCUUUGGGGACAUUGGGCAUCCGGGUCAAAGGUGCAUCAUCAACGCGGUCUUCGUUGCUACUGAAAAUGGAUUUAGUUUCCAUCAGUCCUAUUUACAGCAGCUUUCCUGGGACUCAAAUAAAACAAGGCUCUCCCGCCCACUGGCUUGC
Molecule: non-coding RNA, 21107 nt
Organism: Rattus norvegicus (Norway rat)
Lineage: Eukaryota; Metazoa; Chordata; Mammalia; Rodentia; Muridae
Source: RefSeq, a predicted model, not a curated record